RNAcentral lists this ribosomal RNA (98 nucleotides) under Mycobacterium tuberculosis. RNAcentral's name for it is "partial 16S ribosomal RNA". It matches the Rfam family "Bacterial small subunit ribosomal RNA", at positions 1 to 91 of the family's 1533-position model. The record is from RNAcentral. Lineage: Bacteria; Bacillati; Actinomycetota; Actinomycetes; Mycobacteriales; Mycobacteriaceae.
UUUAAGUGAAGAGUUUGAUCCUGGCUCAGAGUGAACGCUGGCGGUAGGCCUAACACAUGCAAGUCGAACGGCAGCACAGUAAGAGCUUGCUCUUAUGG